Molecule: ribosomal RNA, 491 nt
Filed under: uncultured bacterium
Lineage: Bacteria
Description: bacterial SSU rRNA
Rfam family: Bacterial small subunit ribosomal RNA
Source: RNAcentral
AUUGAACGCUGGCGGCAUGCGUAACACAUGCAAGUCGAACGGUGUUUGGUGCUUGCACCAGACAUAGUGGCGGACGGGUGAGUAAUGCGUAGGAAUCUGUCUUAGAGAGGGGGACAACCCGAGGAAACUUGGGCUAAAACCGCAUAUUCUCGAGAGAGGAAAGCAGGGGACCGGAAACGGCCUUGUGCUCUAAGGUGAGCCUACGUCGGAUUAGCUAGUUGGUAGGGUAAAAGCCUACCAAGGCGAUGAUCUGUAGCUGGUCUGAGAGGACGGACAGCCACACUGGGACUGAGACACGGCCCAGACUCCUACGGGAGGCAGCAGUGGGGAAUAUUGGACAAUGGGGGAACCCUGAUCCAGCGAUGCCGCGUGUGUGAAGAAGGCCUGCGGGUUGUAAAGCACUUUCAGUGGGAAAGAGAAGCGUCUUGUGAAUAAUGGGACGUGGAGACGUUACUCACAGAAGAAGCACCGGCUAAACUCUGUGCCAGCAG